RNAcentral lists this ribosomal RNA (406 nucleotides) under uncultured bacterium. RNAcentral's name for it is "partial 16S ribosomal RNA". It matches the Rfam family "Bacterial small subunit ribosomal RNA", at positions 30 to 526 of the family's 1533-position model. The record is from RNAcentral.
AUUGAACGCUGGCGGCAGGCCUAACACAUGCAAGUCGAACGAGUGGCGGACGGGUGAGUAAUGUCUGGGAAAAUGCCUGGUGGAGGGGGAUAACUACUGGAAAGGGUAGCUAAUACCGCAUACCAUCGGAUGUGCCCAGAUGGGAUUAGCUAGUAGGUGGGGUAAAGGCUCACCAAGGCGACGAUCCCUAGCUGGUCUGAGAGGAUGACCAGCCACACUGGGACUGAGACACGGCCCAGACUCCUACGGGAGGCAGCAGUGGGGAAUCUUGCACAAUGGGCGCAAGCCUGAUGCAGCCAUGCCGCGUGUAUGAAGAAGGCCUUCGGGUUGUAAAGUACUUUCAGCGGGGAGGCGUUACCCGCAGAAGAAGCACCGGCUAACUCCGUGCCAGCAGCCGCGGUAAUUC